GACAGAGGGUGCAAACGUUGUUCGGAAUUACUGGGCGUAAAGCGUGCGUAGGCGGCAGCGUGUGUCGGGCGUGAAAUCCCACGGCUCAACCGUGGAAGUGCACUCGAAACUGCGCAGCUGGAGUCUCGGAGAGGAAGGCGGAAUGCUUGGUGUAGAGGUGAAAUUCGUAGAUAUCAAGCGGAACACCGGUGGCGAAGGCGGCCUUCUGGACGAUGACUGACGCUGAAGCGCGAAAGCGUGGGGAGCAAACAGG
RNAcentral lists this ribosomal RNA (253 nucleotides) under uncultured bacterium. RNAcentral's name for it is "partial 16S ribosomal RNA". It matches the Rfam family "Bacterial small subunit ribosomal RNA", at positions 524 to 776 of the family's 1533-position model. The record is from RNAcentral.